This 422-nucleotide ribosomal RNA is filed under the name uncultured prokaryote. Its description in RNAcentral is "bacterial SSU rRNA". It matches the Rfam family "Bacterial small subunit ribosomal RNA", at positions 355 to 774 of the family's 1533-position model. The record is from RNAcentral.
UGAGGAAUAUUGGUCAAUGGGCGAGAGCCUGAACCAGCCAAGUCGCGUGAAGGAAGACGGCCUUAUGGGUUGUAAACUUCUUUUGCAGGGGAAUAAAAAGUAGGACGCGUCCUAUAUUGCAUGUACCCUGCGAAUAAGCAUCGGCUAACUCCGUGCCAGCAGCCGCGGUAAUACGGAGGAUGCGAGCGUUAUCCGGAUUUAUUGGGUUUAAAGGGUGCGCAGGCGGGCUUUUAAGUCAGCGGUGAAAUCUGGUCGCUUAACGAUCAAACUGCCGUUGAAACUGGGAGUCUUGAGUAAAGAUGAAGUAGGCGGAAUUCGUUGUGUAGCGGUGACAUGCUUAGAUAUAACGAGGAACUCCGAUUGCGUAGGCAGCUUACUAAACUAUAACUGACGCUCAAGCACGAAAGCGUGGGGAUCAAACA